AGUAAUCGGCAUCAUCGAAUUUAUCGGGUCUCUAGAUCUGUGAACGCAUGGCCGGAACCAUCCAUUGCUGCUUGAAGAUGAUUGGUUCAGAUAAUAUGGCAACUCUUACAUGGUUAAGCAUUUCAGCAACACCACAACCCAGUGCAGAUGUGCUGUAUGGAACAAGACCACAUGGAGCCAUGCUUUGACCCGUCAGAGAGAGACCAUGUUUACCCCUGGAUCAGCAAACCAUAUUCACCCUCUCCUACCACUCAACAUGUUUGCCAGUGUCAAGAAUCAGUAUGCUGACCAGGAGAUGUCAAGUUCCACGCCCUUGAAGACAGUUGGAAAGAUCUAAUGUCAACGAAUGAGGGAGUAAUCAGCAUGCCAGAUUACAUACAAGCCAGGCAGUUACCAUCACGACAGUGACACUUUAAUGUUGUCAGAGUGAUUUAACAUCACACAAAUCAUUUUGAUUCUUGAAAGGAGACCUCAACCUGGCAAGAACUGGAAAAGACCCUAACUGUAUCAACAGAAAACAGAGCUGGUGUUCACUGUAUUUUGUCCCAGUAGGAAGGACAACAUUUUCUAUAUUGGGAUAAGGACGUGAUGUAAAGGACAGUGAGAGGAAUAAGAGUUCACCUUUCUGUCACAAGAUAAAACUGUGAAAACUGAAAUUUUAUCCUUCUACUAUUUUGGGAUUUGAAAUUGAGAGAUCACUGUCUAUACUCUUUCCUGAAUUUAAAACCAGCUAUACAAUAAGGGGAAAAGAGACUUAACACCUUUUGUACUUUUAUUACUACAAUUGUGGAAUAAUAUAUACAGCACAAUGUCUUGAGACUUAAUUGUGUGAGGUCUUUUCUAAAAAUGAACGCAAAGUCAUGGUAGCAAUGAUUUAUGAAUCUGAAACCGAUUAUCUCCCUUAGACUGGUGAACAGUUAGACUUUCUGGCAGACAAUUUACAUGGUGGAAAGGUGUUAGGUCAGUUAUGUCUUACUGUAAAAAUUGCAAUAUACAUUUUUGUAUGAAGGAUAAUUUUUAAUAGUUUCCCAGAAACAUCUCUGUUUUGUAAUUUCACUUGUGAUAUUGUGUAUUUGUAAUUGUAAGAGUCAUUAUUGAUUUCAUUUAAUUUUCGUUUUUGUAAUUUUUUUCAUGGAGAAAUAUAAUUGAAUUUGUUUUGGAUCUACUUUACAACAACAAGAUAUUUAAGUAUUUUUAAACCUCAGUUUUCUGCAGGUUAUUUGGAAGUUUCUUUAUCAAAUAUUGUAGAAAUCUGUGUUUCCUAUGGACUGAGUACGGAAGAGAUCCACAUGCUUUGAGGAAUUUAUAGGGAGACAUAUGUUGUCUUGGUGUCACCUCCAAAUGUACGUUAAUUAACUAUUGUAUACAUUUAACCCUGGUAAAUACAUAUCUGUAACCUCUCUAGCUUGAUCUGUUAUAUUAACCCUUUCGGUGCCGUAGGCGACUUUGGUCGGCAAUUUUUAUAUCUUUAUUUUAUAUAUUUUUAUAAUAUUUGGCACUGAGCUGUACAUUGUGAGAGAUAUUUGGCACUGAACUGUACAUU
Molecule: long non-coding RNA, 1543 nt
Organism: Ylistrum balloti
Lineage: Eukaryota; Metazoa; Mollusca; Bivalvia; Pectinida; Pectinidae
Exons: 6
Source: RefSeq, a predicted model, not a curated record